UGUGUGCCCACAUAAAGCUUACCUUAAC
RNAcentral lists this non-coding RNA (28 nucleotides) under Mus musculus (house mouse). The record is from RNAcentral. Lineage: Eukaryota; Metazoa; Chordata; Mammalia; Rodentia; Muridae.